GGCGGGUUGUGAACCCACAACCCAGGUAUGUGCCUUUGACCAGGAAUCAAACCCUUUGGUGCACCAGCAGACGCUCUAACCAUUGAGCAGCACCAGCCAGGGCUUUUCUGGUUCUUUAGAAGAGCGUGUGCCAGCAGUGACCCAUCCUGUCAUUACAGUCCCAUCAUCACCAGACGGUAAGUGACACCUUCGGGAUCCCACAAUCUUCCAUGUGUGCUUUCCAUUUCUCUUCCUGUUGGGCUGCUGUGAAUACAGGGCUCCAGGAGACAGACUGUAAAUACUGCUACGUUAAUCAUCCAGUCUUCCACCUUGGGGCGGCCUUGCAAAUAGCAACAUCGCCUCUAUCCCACGGCCCAGCUGAAGGAGCCUUUUAUAAUCUGCAAGGACGCGCCCUCAGGGUCGGGCUAGGGACACACCCUCAGGACAAGGUUGCGGCUUGCCCUUCUUGCCCAGGAAUGCUUUCCAAAAAUCCACACGAGGUGCCCAGUGUUUCCCGGGUCCGUGUAAAUGUCUCCCCUCUGAGGUGCACGGCCUUCCCUCCGUCAUGGCUUCUGUGAUAACCGGUAAGAGACACAGAUGAGAAGACGACAGAGAUCCUGGAGGUGAGCUUUAGCCAGGGAACAUUGGUAGAAACCCUGGAAAACAUGCGUGCGUCAGGUGUUGAGUACUUAACUACAACAUGAGUCUUUUACUGACAUGAAGAAAGGCACAUGGGUAGUUUUAUGUGAUAGAUCCAAAAGAGCCUCCGGCAGGCGUACAGAACCCCCUGGCCCACAGGCAGGCGUGUCUCCUUGAACUCUGCGCCUGGAGCAGCAGGGCUGGGGGACUGCACCCACGUGCCCGGCCCCUCAGGGACUGCCCUGUCAAUAUUUACCCAGGUCGUUGCUCUCGCUCCUUCUCACGCACGCACCGCUGCCUGUUCUGCACGCUGUGGAGCUGUACGCAGUUUCCACUUUCAUCGCCAUGAUACACGUGCGGUGUGAACGCAGGGCGUGGGGCACAGCUGGUGGCCUGCCCUGGGGGCAUUGGUGCAGCUGAGUGGGGGGCCUCUGCUUCGUGCACAUGCGCACAUAAGGUCCUUCUACUCUCCAUCCCCACAGGUACCCUUCAAAAUACUUAUGGCUGCCCUAGCUGGUGUGGCUCAGUGGAUAGAGCAUUGGACUGCGGACUGGAAGGUCCCGGGUUUGAUUCCAGUCAAGGGCACGUGCUCAAGUUAUGG
This is a long non-coding RNA of Myotis myotis, 1219 nucleotides long. RefSeq lists it as uncharacterized. The transcript is spliced from 4 exons. The record is from RefSeq and is a predicted model, not a curated record. NCBI's taxonomy places the organism in Eukaryota, Metazoa, Chordata, Mammalia, Chiroptera, Vespertilionidae.